GACGAACGCUGGCGGCGUGCCUAAUACAUGCAAGUAGAACGCUGAAGAGAGGAGCUUGCUCUUCUUGGAUGAGUUGCGAACGGGUGAGUAACGCGUAGGUAACCUGCCUUGUAGCGGGGGAUAACUAUUGGAAACGAUAGCUAAUACCGCAUAACAAUGGAUGACACAUGUCAUUUAUUUGAAAGGGGCAAUUGCUCCACUACAAGAUGGACCUGCGUUGUAUUAGCUAGUAGGUGAGGUAACGGCUCACCUAGGCGACGAUACAUAGCCGACCUGAGAGGGUGAUCGGCCACACUGGGACUGAGACACGGCCCAGACUCCUACGGGAGGAAGCAGUAGGGAAUCUUCGGCAAUGGGGGCAACCCUGACCGAGCAACGCCGCGUGAGUGAAGAAGGUUUUCGGAUCGUAAAGCUCUGUUGUAAGUCAAGAACGAGUGUGAGAGUGGAAAGUUCACACUGUGACGGUAGCUUACCAGAAAGGGACGGCUAACUAUGUG
RNAcentral lists this ribosomal RNA (497 nucleotides) under uncultured bacterium. Its description in RNAcentral is "partial 16S ribosomal RNA". It matches the Rfam family "Bacterial small subunit ribosomal RNA", at positions 28 to 507 of the family's 1533-position model. The record is from RNAcentral.